CUAGUUAAUAAUUUUGAUUUGUUGGAUUGGUACAACUGGACGAAGCCUUGUCGGUUGACCAGCCAGCGAUUUCCUCUUUUUCUUGUUCUAAAAGGCCUAGCUGUGGCAUCUCAAAAUGUAGCAUGUGAUUUGAAUUAUGAAAUAUCUAAAUUUUUUUACUAAAAAAUUUUUCUUUAAAUUAUGCUAAAGUAGCAUAAAAUGUAAAUCUACAAUGCCUGAUUGAAUUUUAUAUUUGAAUAACCCCAGUUGGGUUUUUUUUUUAUUUUACCAUUAAUUUUGAAUGACCGGACAAAUAUAAUACCAGGAUAAAUACAGGAUGAAGGAGACUACACAUUUUC
This is a long non-coding RNA of Nilaparvata lugens (brown planthopper), 338 nucleotides long. RefSeq lists it as uncharacterized. The transcript is spliced from 2 exons. NCBI's taxonomy places the organism in Eukaryota, Metazoa, Arthropoda, Insecta, Hemiptera, Delphacidae. The record is from RefSeq and is a predicted model, not a curated record.